AGAACAUUCAACCGCCGCACA
This 21-nucleotide microRNA is filed under the name Ictalurus punctatus (channel catfish). RNAcentral describes it as "ipu-miR-7576". Lineage: Eukaryota; Metazoa; Chordata; Actinopteri; Siluriformes; Ictaluridae. The record is from miRBase by way of RNAcentral.